CCAGCUCUCUUUGCCAUUAUGGCUUAGAUCAAGUGUAGUAUCUGUUCUUUUCAGUUUAAUCUCUGAAAGUAUUCUAAGGAAUACAACAUUGAUUAAUCUCAUUUUUGGAAUCCGUGGGAAGACCUCUGUGCUUGCGCAUGUUUUCCUGCACUGUGUCAUCGGUCUUACACUACCACCGAUCGACGCGAACCAUC
This is a small nuclear RNA of 194 nucleotides. It matches the Rfam family "U2 spliceosomal RNA". Rfam says of the family: U2 is a small nuclear RNA (snRNA) component of the spliceosome (involved in pre-mRNA splicing). Complementary binding between U2 snRNA (in an area lying towards the 5' end but 3' to hairpin I) and the branchpoint sequence (BPS) of the intron results the bulging out of an unpaired adenosine, on the BPS, which initiates a nucleophilic attack at the intronic 5' splice site, thus starting the first of two transesterification reactions that mediate splicing. The record is from Rfam.